UGGGGAAUCUUGGACAAUGGGCGAAAGCCUGACGCAGCAACGCCGCGUGAGUGAUGAAGGCCUUCGGGUCGUAAAGCUCUGUCGGAGGGAACGAAUGCUCCAGGGGUUAACAGCCUCCGGAGGUGACGGUACCCUCAAAGGAAGCACCGGCUAACUCUGUGCCAGCAGCCGCGGUAAUACAGAGGGUGCAAGCGUUGUUCGGAAUCAUUGGGCGUAAAGGGCGUGUAGGCGGUAUGUUAAGUCAUGUGUGAAAUCCCUCGACUCAACCGGGGAACGACGCAUGAAACUGGCAAGCUAGAGUACCAAAGAGGGUGGUGGAAUUCCCGGUGUAGCGGCGAAAUGCGUAGAUAUCGGGAGGAACACCUGUGGCGAAGGCGGCCACCUGGU
RNAcentral lists this ribosomal RNA (387 nucleotides) under uncultured bacterium. Its description in RNAcentral is "bacterial SSU rRNA". It matches the Rfam family "Bacterial small subunit ribosomal RNA", at positions 355 to 733 of the family's 1533-position model. The record is from RNAcentral.